UGCGGCUUUCCGGCUGUGUUCAUCCCCCUUUACACCAUAUGUAUCGCUAUUGUGAAUGAUUUCGAGCAUACUUGAACAACCCUGGGAAUCAGGUGUUCAGUGAUUGAAACGGGUGGAAGAGGAGGAAAGCCGUCAAGGAAGGACUGGUCGAAAGCCUGCCAUGACGGGAAAUUUGCGAAAGAUGGCCGACUUCCUGGCCGGUUUGCCUUCUCUUGGACCUUGGAAUUGGAGUUGGCUGGAUGCAGAAAAAUCGUGGAAAAUCGAACUUACGAACUACAUAUUAAAUAAUCUGAAAAUAAAGAAAAAAUUACAUCCUAAAAAAAAAAAA
Stomoxys calcitrans (stable fly) is the source of this 328-nucleotide long non-coding RNA. RefSeq lists it as uncharacterized. The transcript has 2 exons. The record is from RefSeq and is a predicted model, not a curated record. Lineage: Eukaryota; Metazoa; Arthropoda; Insecta; Diptera; Muscidae.